RNAcentral lists this long non-coding RNA (1118 nucleotides) under Crocodylus porosus (Australian saltwater crocodile). RNAcentral describes it as "lncRNA (ENSCPRG00005015128.1)". The record is from RNAcentral. Lineage: Eukaryota; Metazoa; Chordata; Crocodylia; Crocodylidae.
AGAUGUGGUUCCAACUCUUUGAAAACAUAACCCAUGAUGUUGAAACAGACUACUGUAAAGCCCUUCCCUGGGUUGGUACUCACCUGGACCAUCACUCACAUCCUUCUCCCAGAUGUUGCUUCCACUCCUUUGUCUUCAAAUGCAACCUGGAUCUAGGUGAGAGCUGCAGACCUGUCUCUUCUCCUCAGUGCAUGGACAAAGCACAGCACACAGAGUGGCAAGAAGGGAUGCCAAUCAGACUUCUGCCUUAACGAAUAGGCAUUUAUAACAGUGAGAGAUCCCAACUUUGUGGCUUGAGCCCACCUCUACUGUUAAGAGAGAUGCUAAAUCAGUACAUCUGCAGAGACAACACUAAUAUCUCCUAACUAUUUCAUUUAGCUGUAAUUUUUCUGUGGAGGGCUCAUAACAUGAACAGCAGAGGACCAGAUGAGCAGAAGUUGCAGUGCUAUAAACUGAUUCCCAGAUGUUCAAGAGAGCAGUUGUAAUGGCUGUAUUGAAUGUGUAGAAGUUAAUAAUGCAUACUGUUGUCUCCAUAAGCUGGCUUGCCUAUGAAAAUGCCAGUCAUGCCAGCAGGAUAGCAGGUUUCCCGCUAUAUGCUAAGUUAUUCAAAUAUUUGUGGGUAUAUCCAUCACAUUUUGAAAACACAGAAGUCUUUGAAUCUUUCCCCAACCCCUAACUCACAACCUGACAGAUUUCUAAGGAACAUAUUCUACUGCAUUUCAGUAAUGAUCAUGCCACUUUUUUAAAGAGACAUUUAGCAUUAUUACUUUUCUUUCUUGAAGCCUAAUACUGCAAUAGGCACACUGUGCUGCUAAGCUGCAACUGAUACUUCAUCACUUUGAGAAUGUGAAAUCAAAAAUCCAUAUGCUUUGUAGAGAGAUUGCGUGUCUCUGGGAUGGUGCCAGUCCAGAAAGGCUGCAUGUAGAAUUAUGAUGUGGUUUCAGUCAGUCGGGAAGGUAAAUUUUGAUGAGAAUGAAAUCAUUUUUCCAUAUCAUUUUUCAGCAUUUUGAAACUAUUUCUGCAGAUCUCCAGACAGUUUGGUCUCAGCCUAAGGCAAAAUGUCCCAUGACGACAAUGGAGAUUUCUUUUGUAAUAAUAAAUAAAGCCUCUGGUUUUCA